Lutra lutra (Eurasian river otter) is the source of this 308-nucleotide long non-coding RNA. RefSeq lists it as uncharacterized. Lineage: Eukaryota; Metazoa; Chordata; Mammalia; Carnivora; Mustelidae. The record is from RefSeq and is a predicted model, not a curated record. The transcript has 3 exons.
UGGUGUGGACCGCUUGAGAGGCUCCAUUCAAAGGCGAAGGGUCGGCAAGGGUGAGGGUUCCUCUGACUGUCCCGGCGGUCUGCGCCCUGGAGCGUGCCUGGGGGAGCCUUGGGGACAGAGCACCACCCCUCCUCUCCAGCUGCCAGGGGAAGAGCCAUCUUGGGCUCCCUCACGCUAUGGCCUUCCCACAGACAGGAUGGACAGCCAGGAAACACUUGGGAGGAGAGCUAGACACCGCCCCACACCAACCAGUGAGUAGAUGAACUGCCUCCGUGGCCUCCCGGUGCCCCAGACCGUCAGGGCGGAGC